This 230-nucleotide long non-coding RNA is filed under the name Lathyrus oleraceus (garden pea). RNAcentral's name for it is "Pisum sativum (pea) long non-coding RNA (PSAT_LNC002851)". The record is from RNAcentral. Lineage: Eukaryota; Viridiplantae; Streptophyta; Magnoliopsida; Fabales; Fabaceae.
UUGAGUUCCUUAGAGACAAAAGGGCCUUCUUCGGGCAUAUGAGAUCUAAACCAGGCAUGCAACAGCUGCGCACAACAUAAGAUGGUUCCUCCCUUCUUCUCAUGACGAUCAUGGAGAGAGUAGUGGAGGUCUGCCAGGAGGAACGGUACAGGGUUACCAGAGAGGAAGAUUCUCACCGCCAGGUGGUCCACAAAAUGGUCAAUAUUUGGGAAGAGAACUAUCCCAUAUAC